Gadus morhua (Atlantic cod) is the source of this 2299-nucleotide long non-coding RNA. RefSeq lists it as uncharacterized. NCBI's taxonomy places the organism in Eukaryota, Metazoa, Chordata, Actinopteri, Gadiformes, Gadidae. The transcript has 11 exons. The record is from RefSeq and is a predicted model, not a curated record.
CCUGCUCCCCUUGUUUACGCUGGCGUGGAGCAAAUCUGGAGUAUCUUCGGCCCCUGGCUCGCGCCCCAUCGUCAGCUGGUUGUCCGCCGGCUCCUGCUAGAUUUGGCUUGGUGAACGCCAGAUCACUUGGAAAUAAAGCUUUUAUCCUUAAGGACUUCUUCGUUACGCGGGAGCUGGACUUUCUUUUUAUCUCCGAGACCUGGCUAAGUGCGGGCCUCAGAGCAUCCUGCAUCAUCGAAGUUACCUGCUACAAGGGAUAUUGGCUGCAAUACUGAGCCACCUCAGAGACACCAUGUUGGCACACAACUCUCUUUGAAGACUCUUCAUUCACAUUACAGAAGUGAAGUUGUCCAGGCUACUGUGUCCUUCAAGGACUCUGGCACAUCCACUGAUCCCUUCACAGGCCCAUUGCCUGUAGCAUGCUCGACACCUGUAAAGCCGCCACCAUCUAAGAGACCUCGGCUGCAGCAGCAGGAGGAGGAGGAGGAGGAGGAUUGUCUCGAGGGCAGCGCAAUACUGGCUUCUGAAGGGCUGGACGCAACCUUUCACCCUGAAGACUCGGUCACAACUUUGCCUGAGUCAACAUUCAUGUCAGAUGCUGAAUCCACAUCCAAACACGAUAUAAGGAAGUACAUAGUGUACGAGACCUGUCACAUGGAGCUGUUCGAGGUGUGUCCUGUGUGCAAGCGUGUUUGCAGUGUGAAAAACAAAGUGCUUGGGACAUUCAUAUCAGUGAAACAGCUGUGUCAGUAUUGCGAGUAUUCCCGAAUUUGGCAAAGCCAGCCUCUUCUGGAUAGCACACCAGCUGGGAACUUGCAGCUUUCUGCAGCAGUGUACAUCAGUGGAGCCUCUUUCUUCAAAAUUCAAAGGGUGUUCAAGGCGAUGCAUCUGCAGAUUUUUCUGUAUGAUACCUUUCGUCGGCAUGCCCGAAUGUUUAUAGAGCUAUUGUCCAUAAUUGUCCAUGGAACCAUUCCCAGGAUGUGAUGCUGCAGCAGCUCAGCAAAGAAAGAAAAGUAAUACUUGGUGGCGACAUGAGGGCUGAUUCUCCAGGGCACUGUGCAAAAUUUGGGAGCUACACCAUGAUGGACCUCAACACCAAAACUAUUGUUGAUCUCCAGUUGGUUCAGCAUCGUCACUGACCGUCAUCCACAAAUCCAGAAAUUUCUGAGGGACAACAACAUCACUCAAUUUUAUGACGUCUGGCACAUGGAGAAAGGAAUUAGAAAGGAACUACAUAAAAUUAGCAAAACCAAGGACUGCCAGAAGGUAAAGACGUGGAUGCGAGCCAUCAGAAACCACAUCUAUUGGACGGCGGCAUCGUCAAUAACCGGGCCGGAGAGAGUGGCAAAAUGGACCUCCCUCCUGAACCAUGUUCAGGAUAUUCAUACUCAUGAUGAUCCCCUCUUCCCAAAAUGUCUACAACCAAUUCGCAGUACAACGGACAAGAGUAGAUGGCUCUCAGGAGCAACUCCUGCAUUCUACAAGCUGGAGAAGGUGCUGACCAAGAAGACAGUCCUGAGGGAUAUAGCAAAGCUCAGUCCCCACCACCAGACGUCCUCUUUGGAGGCAUUCCACGGCGUGAUCCUGCGGUUCGCUCCUAAAAAUGUGGUCUAUCCAUUUCUAGGAAUGCUGUGCAGACUCUACCUGGCUGCACUGCAUUACAAUGAGAAUUCUGAUAGAGGACAAGCCACUACGUCAUCAGGGGAUCUUAUGUUCAGACUGACCUUUCCUAAGGCCAGGAAGGGAAGGUUUGCAGAGCCAAACCAGUGAAGACUGAGGCGACAUUCCAGUAUGUGAAUGAUUUGAUGGACAUGAUCAUGGAGAAGGUCUUUGUCGACCCAGCAUCCUACAGAGCUGAGAUUCUGAAGAUAAACAUCCCGCCGGAACUGUCUUCAGAAUAUGAGCAUCCAGACAAGGAGGAGGUCAUCGCCAGCUACGUCUCCAGAUUUAAUCAAGGGAGGGUGGUUUGAAGCCUCCGUAUCUUCCAUGGGCGUCCGGAAAUUCCCGGUGUAUGCGAAGAACCACGCAUGAUGGGAUAACAACCCGUAUCUUCCGCCCAAGGAAGCCCCAGCACCAGCUCACAAAAUUUCUGUAGGCUAAAUACCUGUAACGACUGAGAAAAUGUAACAUUGUUAGUCAACAGGUUCUACAAUGUCAACAUCUGCGUUCACAUUUUCUCAUUGAAUUCAGUGAAUUCUUCAUUUAUACUGUAUUUAGAUGCACAAAUAUUCAUAAUAAUAAUAAUAAUACAUUUAAUUUAGAGGCGCCUUUCAAGACACCCAAGGUCACCUUACAGAGC